RNAcentral lists this ribosomal RNA (253 nucleotides) under uncultured bacterium. RNAcentral describes it as "partial 16S ribosomal RNA". It matches the Rfam family "Bacterial small subunit ribosomal RNA", at positions 524 to 776 of the family's 1533-position model. The record is from RNAcentral.
UACGUAGGGUGCAAGCGUUAAUCGGAAUUACUGGGCGUAAAGCGUGCGCAGGCGGUUAUGCAAGACAGAGGUGAAAUCCCCGGGCUCAACCUGGGAACUGCCUUUGUGACUGCAUAGCUAGAGUGCGGCAGAGGGGGAUGGAAUUCCGCGUGUAGCAGUGAAAUGCGUAGAGAUGCGGAGGAACACCGAUGGCGAAGGCAGCCCCCUGGGCUAACACUGACGCUCAGGCACGAAAGCGUGGGGAGCAAACAGG